Molecule: ribosomal RNA, 301 nt
Filed under: uncultured bacterium
Lineage: Bacteria
Description: partial 16S ribosomal RNA
Rfam family: Bacterial small subunit ribosomal RNA
Source: RNAcentral
CAGCAGCCGCGGGAAUACGGAGGGUGCAAGCGUUAAUCGGAAUUACUGGGCGUAAAGCGCACGCAGGCGGUUUGUUAAGUCAGAUGUGAAAUCCCCGAGCUUAACUUGGGAACUGCAUUAGAAACUGGCAAGCUAGAGUCUUGUAGAGGGGGGUAGAAUUCCAGGUGUAGCGGUGAAAUGCGUAGAGAUCUGGAGGAAUACCGGUGGCGAAGGCGGCCCCCUGGACAAAGACUGACGCUCAGGUGCGAAAGCGAGGGGAGCAAACAGGAUUAGAUACCCCGGUAGUCCCUGUCUCUUAUAC